This 253-nucleotide ribosomal RNA is filed under the name uncultured bacterium. Its description in RNAcentral is "partial 16S ribosomal RNA". It matches the Rfam family "Bacterial small subunit ribosomal RNA", at positions 524 to 776 of the family's 1533-position model. The record is from RNAcentral.
GACAGAGGUGCCGAGCGUUAGGCGGAAUCACUGGGCUUAAAGCGUGUGUAGGCGGGCCGCAUAGUGCCUUGUGAAAUCCCCCGGCUCAACCGGGGAACGGCUGGGCAGACUGGCGGCCUUGGGCCAACCAGGGGUCAUCGGAACAAGCGGUGGAGCGGUGAAAUGCGUAGAUAUCGCUUGGAACGCCCGCGGCGAAAGCGGAUGACUGGGGUUGUGCCGACGCUGAGACACGAAAGCCAGGGGAGCGAACGGG